This 210-nucleotide ribosomal RNA is filed under the name Vibrio splendidus. Its description in RNAcentral is "partial 16S ribosomal RNA". It matches the Rfam family "Bacterial small subunit ribosomal RNA", at positions 1 to 208 of the family's 1533-position model. Lineage: Bacteria; Pseudomonadati; Pseudomonadota; Gammaproteobacteria; Vibrionales; Vibrionaceae. The record is from RNAcentral.
AAAUUGAAGAGUUUGAUCAUGGCUCAGAUUGAACGCUGGCGGCAGGCCUAACACAUGCAAGUCGAGCGGAAACGACAUUAUUGAUUCUUCGGAGGAUUUAAUGGGCGUCGAGCGGCGGACGGGUGAGUAAUGCCUAGGAAAUUGCCUUGAUGUGGGGGAUAACCAUUGGAAACGAUGGCUAAUACCGCAUAAUGCCUACGGGCCAAAGAG